This 253-nucleotide ribosomal RNA is filed under the name uncultured bacterium. RNAcentral's name for it is "partial 16S ribosomal RNA". It matches the Rfam family "Bacterial small subunit ribosomal RNA", at positions 524 to 776 of the family's 1533-position model. The record is from RNAcentral.
UACGUAGGGCGCAAGCGUUGUCCGGAAUCAUUGGGCGUAAAGAGCGUGUAGGCGGUCCGGUCAGUCGGUUGUGAAAGUCAAGGGCUCAACCCUUGAAUGCCGGCCGAUACUGCCGGGCUAGAGUCCGGAAGAGGUGAGUGGAAUUCCUGGUGUAGCGGUGAAAUGCGCAGAUAUCAGGAGGAACACCGAUGGCGAAGGCAGCUCACUGGGACGGUACUGACGCUGAGACGCGAAAGCGUGGGGAGCAAACAGG